GUUCUGAAGGUCACAAGAUUUGGAUUAUCCUUUGGCAUUUUUGCCGUGCUUCAGCAGCACCAGGAUGUGGAGCCCGAGCCCGGAUGGAGCGGACUGUACGACCCCUGGAACGGGACACGGAGGGAGACGUUUGUGUUUUUCCGGAGGAUGAGCUCAGCUACAACAGAGAGCUCAUUGACUAUGAGGACGAUGACAACUGGCCUAUGAGAGACCUCUCUCCUGUAUGGAUCCCACCACCUGUGAGGAGCCCAUCCACACCUAUGAGAGGUCUCUCUCCUGUAUGGACCCCACCACCUGUGAGGAGCCCAUCCCCACCUAUGAGAGGCCUCUCUCCUGUAUGGAUCCCACCACCUGUGGGGAGCCUCUCUCCUGUAUGGAUCCCACCACCUGUGGGGAGCCUCUCUCCUGUAUGGAUCCCACCACCUGUAUGGAUCCCACUACCUGUGGACCCACUACCUGUGAGCCUAUCCCCACCUAUGAGAGAUCUCUCUCCUGUAUGGACCCCACCACCUGUUAGGAGCCCAUCUGCACCUAUGAGAGGCCUCUCUCCUGUAUGGAGGAGACCAUCCCCUCGCAGAAACCCUUCCUCUGUGAGUUCAUCCCCAGUAAUGCAACCAUCCCCACUGAGGAGGCCAUCACCUUCAGGGAAUCCACAACGUUCCACUGUUCCUCUGCCCCGGCCUCAUGUCCAGAUUAACCCCCACCACAUUGUGGCUGGCCAACAGUAUGUUCGCGCCCUGAUGACAGUUCCUGUCCCACGCCAGGGCAUAAGGAGGAGGAGAAAGAAAAUGGAGCCGUGGAGGUCGUACCGAACGGUUCAAUAUUAUACUGAGUAUUGUGGCAUCCCUACUAAACACUAUACUGUUUACUUUAAAAUGUACUUGCAAAUAUAUUAAACCUCGACAGGGAUGAUUGCCGUUACUUGCUGGUGUUUUGCCUAUUUAUCUGUAUAAUAUUGCGUGAAACUGUUGCAGGGGUAACAGGAUGGCGAUAAAUUGAAUAACAGUCAACAGUUGUGACUUUAACAGGAAACAUCUUCAACUGACAAUUUGUGUGCUGAGACAAAUCUGUUUAAUGAUGCUUAAUGAUGACAUGAUAAACUGUGGAUACACUGGAAGAGUGUCUGUGGAAAAAAAAGAACUCAUAAUCAGGUAGUUUUAAAGGAAAACUGUCUGGAGUAUAGUCAUGGUUAAACAAAAAAAAUACUGCUUUUUUUUCUAAAUAAUUUCAAUUACACAAUUGCACAAAGUUACACAAUUACAAAUAGUUUGUGAGUACAGUACCUUUUACAAAACUUCUACUUACUACUUUUUCAAACCUUUUGUGUUCCGGGCUAUUGUACUGCACUCAACCAUGAGAGUUGUCCCCAUGCUUGACCAGCUGAGAAAAGGCCUGCAGCUGUAUGACCUGCUGGCAGUUAUGAAGACACACCCAGACCUUUGUGUGCCACUGUUUGUUCCAGGGGAAGAUGAUAGGGUGGAUGCAGCCUUUGUCCUGGAAAAAUGUCAACCUGACUUCAGUGAGAAGGGCUCUGUGAAGUACAAUAAAGAAGUAAACAUCAUAAACUUUUUCCAAGACUUCCUACAAGAGAUUGAAGAUUGUGAACAAGGUUGCCGGUGUGACGAGGAAAGUAAUGAAGCGCUACAGGAAGUGACUGUUGGCAGAAUCAUGCAGUGGAUGACAGGACAGGCCCACAAGCCUGUACUACCAAGUGAGAAGAAGGACUUCAUAAUAUCUGUGAAAUUCUACCAUGAUUGUGACACACAUCAUACCAUUGGUUUUCCAACUGUAAGUGCAUGUAGUCGCACAAUUACAUUUCCAGUUACUCACCUGACAACAUUUGAUGACUUCAAAAACAUUAUGGAACUAGCCAUAUCACAUGGACAAUCCUUUCAUAGGGUGUGAGAUACUCGACAGUUCUUGAUGAAAUGACAGUUAUGAGCCAGAGCCAAAACCAAAUGUUUAUAUAUUUUAUGCUGGUUUUUCUGAUGUUUUACCACAUUUACUGUUCAAGGUUACUUUCAAGUGUUGUUCAACAGCUGGUCCUAUUACAAUACAUGAAUUCUCAUCAGGUUUGGAGGUUAACCAAUCUGUUUAAUAAGUUUUACAAGGAGUACCAUGGAGUCCUUUAGUCAUUUCUGUGUUGCCCUAACAGUGAAAGCAGUGAACCACUUAUUCAGGUGCCUGCCAUAUACUCCAAAUACUGUAGCCUUUUUAAACUAUUUAAAUGAUUCCAUCUAAAUCAUUUUAACUUAACUCUAACCAUGUAAAAAUCUCUAAAUACAACUAGAAUUGUAAUAGAUUCACUAUGCCACCUGGUGAACAAGUUAAAUAUGUAGUAUGCAAUUCUACUCCAAAUAAACAAGGCAGAAAAAGGCAGAAAUAGACAAACCUUCACAGAAAAUGUUUGAUUGCACAGACAUUCAAAAGCCAUGACUGUGUCAAAGAUAAGACUGUGGAUAAUGUGUAACAUACUGUAGUAAGAUCAAUUAGUUGGUUAUUCUACAGUGUAAAACUGGGUGGUAUUUGAUAUGUUUCUUUAACUUUCAAACCCCUAAAAUUAAUGCAUGGUCUGAAAUUUUCAUGCACCUGUGGUGGCACAACCAUUCCAAAAGAUUGAAACCAAAUCAUUAUUUAAACGUUUAAAGGGCUUAAUGUGACAAUAUUAGAAAAUCAGUGUGAACAAAAGACAGGUAAUACAUCAAAUACAGCCCACAGAAUAUUAUCACUUACAGGCUAAGACACUAUCAGCUUCAAACAUCUAUCCCCUAAGCAUUACAUUCAUGCCUGUACAUCCAAUACAGCAGCCCUGCCAUGAAUUCUACUUUUACAAGGUUAUAAUUUCUUAGUUUUUAAGUUAAAACUGUCAGCAAGGUGAUAAUUCUACUAUGUUUAUUAUUGAAGUAAUAGUGGGUGGUGGAGUGGAGAGAUGUUUCUAAUGUUUUGGCCACCUUAUUUAAAAUGAAUGAGGGGUCCAAAACAUUAAAAAUACCCCUUACUAUAAUAAGCCACUGUAUUGCAUUGCAUUGCAUUGCAUUAUAUUUUACAGGUGUACCUAAUAAAGUGACCAGAUAUAAUAUUUAUUUCAUCCAAGUUGCUAACAUUGUGUGAUAGGGUAGUUUGUCACAUUUUUGUAAUAGAUACUUAAAUACUGUGACUUGUUGAACACAGACUUUCAAUGCAUUGAACCAUUGAUAUAUACAGGUCUAUAUCUAGAUCUAUAUGCUGGCUCUGCUGGCCCACAGUGGAUCACUAGAGUAAACACAGUUGUUCAGUUUUUCAUCAGUUAAUUAACAAGUUUCUCCUUAAAUUCUUCUUGCCUAAUGAAUUUUUUAUUUAAUUAACUGAUCAUAACUGAGAGUGAUACUGCUGAGCCUGGUAUAAACUGAUAUCUGCUGGUUUCCUUGUUUUACAAUUAGCUGCAUAUCAUACUGGUAUAUUUCAGUCUAGUUGUGUUUAUACACUGUAUUUCCAAAAGUUUUGGGACACCCCUCCAAAUCAUUGAAUUCGGGUAUUCUAAUCACUUCCAUGGCCACAGGUGUAUAAAAUCAAGCACCUAGGCAUGCAGACUGCUUCUCCAAACAUUUGUGAAAGAAUGUGUCGGUAAGACAUUCUGGACAAUUUCAUGCUCCCAACUUUGUGGGAACAGUUUGGGGAUGACCCCUUCCUGUUCCAACAUAACUGCACACCAGUGCACAAAGCAAGGUCCAUAAAGACAUGGAUGAGCGAGUUUGGUGUGGAGGAACUUGACUGGCCUGCACAGAGUCCUGACCUAAACCUGAUAGAACACAUUUGGGAUGAAUUAGAGCAGAGACUGAGCCAGUCCUUCUCAUCCAACAUUAGUGCCUCACAAAUGUGCUUCUAGUGGAAUGGUCAAACAUUCCCAUAAACACACUCCUAAACCUUGUGGAAAACCUUCCUAGAAGAGUUGAAGCUGUUAUAGCUGCAAAGGGCGGGACUACUUCAUAUUAAAACCUACGGAUUAAGAAUGGUAUGUCAUUAAAAUUCAUGUCCAUGUAAAGGCAGACAUCCCAAAACUUUUGGCAAUGUAGUGUAUUUAACAUGAUCAGAACAAGACAGAUGACCUUUAAAGUCUUUUCAUGUUUCAUCAUAAAAUGGACAUAAUAAAGCCUCCAAAAGUCAGAAUGCACAAAUCCAUGUGUAUAAAUCACACCAAAAUAUGGAUUUUAAUUAAAAACACAGAAACAUUAUUACACACCGCUUGAUGGACUUUUAUUUGAGAAGUAUGUGCAAUAUUGACAUUAAAAGUUAUACUUCAUUGGGAUUGGUCAGAAGGUGUUCAGCAUGGUCCUGACAGCAGUUCAGGUUAGAAUGAAAUCUCUCUUUUUUAUGAAUGUACUCAUAAAAAAUGAAGGUUAAUGUUAUGUUUUCAGGUGAAAAGUAUUUUUUUUCUCCCCAACUAUUGUGCCCUUUUUGCAAUAUUUACCAUUAGCUUAAAUUUCUUUUGUAAAGCUGCUUUGAGACAAUGUCCAUUGUA
This is a long non-coding RNA of Hemibagrus wyckioides, 4498 nucleotides long. RefSeq lists it as uncharacterized. NCBI's taxonomy places the organism in Eukaryota, Metazoa, Chordata, Actinopteri, Siluriformes, Bagridae. The record is from RefSeq and is a predicted model, not a curated record. The transcript is spliced from 4 exons.